RNAcentral lists this unclassified non-coding RNA (504 nucleotides) under Hevea brasiliensis (rubber tree). Lineage: Eukaryota; Viridiplantae; Streptophyta; Magnoliopsida; Malpighiales; Euphorbiaceae. The record is from RNAcentral.
GGGAGUUGUUCGACCACGAAGCCGCAACAACCUGCGCAACACCAAUAUUGCUACAGUUUCUACGCGCUUUGUUACUGAGUUGCCUGACGAAAUUCGGUGGAAACUUAAAAAUCGGGAAAGAAGACAAGCCGUGAGACGCCACCGUUCCCUUCACCGAUUUGGCUUCGUGAGCGAAUCGGCCAUAGCUGUUCCCUCGAUGAGCAGCUGCAACAGCAAGAACGGGAUCGGAGCGGCACUCGAAUGUAGGGGCGAGGAGUCUGGCGUGAGAAGAAACAGCCAUGGCGGAAGAGAAAACGAUGAAAGAGAUCGGAGACGGUGGUGGUUCGGAUCGGAAAAGAGAAGUUGGAAAUGGCUUUUUGUGUGUGGACUGUGGAAUACAAGAACAUCAGCUUCACUGUCUGGGACGUUGGGGGUCAAGACAAGAUCCGACCAUUGUGGAGGCAUUAUUUCCAAAACACCCAAGGACUUAUUUUUGUGGUGGAUAGCAAUGACAGAGACCGUGUA